ACGGGGCCGCACAAGCGUGGAGCAUGUGGUUUAAUUCGAAGCAACGCGAAGAACCUUACCAGGUCUUGACAUCCCGAUGCUAUUUCUAGAGAUAGAAAGUUACUUCGGUACAUCGGUGACAGGUGGUGCAUGGUUGUCGUCAGCUCGUGUCGUGAGAUGUUGGGUUAAGUCCCGCAACGAGCGCAACCCCUAUUGUUAGUUGCCAUCAUUCAGUUGGGCACUCUAGCGAGACUGCCGGUAAUAAACCGGAGGAAGGUGGGAUGACGUCAAAUCAUCAUGCCCCUUAUGACCUGGGCUACACACGUGCUACAAUGGUUGGUACAACGAGUUGCGAGUCGGUGACGGCGAGCUAGUCUCUUAAAGCCAAUCUCAGUUCGGAUUGUAGGCUGCAACUCGCCUACAUGAAGUCGGAAUCGCUAGUAAUCGCGGAUCAGCACGCCGCGGUGAAUACGUUCCCGGGCCUU
RNAcentral lists this ribosomal RNA (464 nucleotides) under uncultured Streptococcus sp. Its description in RNAcentral is "bacterial SSU rRNA". It matches the Rfam family "Bacterial small subunit ribosomal RNA", at positions 917 to 1381 of the family's 1533-position model. The record is from RNAcentral. Lineage: Bacteria; Bacillati; Bacillota; Bacilli; Lactobacillales; Streptococcaceae.